GCCCUGGUGGCAUACUAGUUAAGCGUUUGGCUGCUAACCAAAAGGUUGGUGGUUCGAAUCCACCAGUGCU
Molecule: transfer RNA, 70 nt
Filed under: Loxodonta africana (African savanna elephant)
Lineage: Eukaryota; Metazoa; Chordata; Mammalia; Proboscidea; Elephantidae
Rfam family: tRNA
About the family: Transfer RNA (tRNA) molecules are approximately 80 nucleotides in length. Their secondary structure includes four short double-helical elements and three loops (D, anti-codon, and T loops). Further hydrogen bonds mediate the characteristic L-shaped molecular structure. tRNAs have two regions of fundamental functional importance: the anti-codon, which is responsible for specific mRNA codon recognition, and the 3' end, to which the tRNAs corresponding amino acid is attached (by aminoacyl-tRNA synthetases). tRNAs cope with the degeneracy of the genetic code in two manners: having more than one tRNA (with a specific anti-codon) for a particular amino acid; and 'wobble' base-pairing, i.e. permitting non-standard base-pairing at the 3rd anti-codon position.
Source: Rfam by way of RNAcentral